GGGCGAAUAGCUCAGUGGUAGAGCACCUGCCUUACAAGCAGGGGGUCACAGGUUCGAGACCUGUUUCGCCCACCA
This 75-nucleotide transfer RNA is filed under the name Thermaerobacter sp. RNAcentral describes it as "tRNA-Val". It matches the Rfam family "tRNA". From Rfam's summary of the family: Transfer RNA (tRNA) molecules are approximately 80 nucleotides in length. The record is from RNAcentral. Lineage: Bacteria; Bacillati; Bacillota; Clostridia; Eubacteriales; Clostridiales Family XVII. Incertae Sedis.